AUUGAACGCUGGCGGCAGGCCUAACACAUGCAAGUCGGACGGUAGCACAGAGAGCUUGCUCUUGGGUGACGAGUGGCGGACGGGUGAGUAAUGUCUGGGGAUCUGCCCGAUAGAGGGGAUAACCACUGGAAACGGUGGCUAAUACCGCAUAACGUCGCAAGACCAAAGAGGGGGACCUUCGGGCCUCUCACUAUCGGAUGAACCCAGAUGGGAUUAGCUAGUAGGCGGGGUAAUGGCCCACCUAGGCGACGAUCCCUAGCUGGUCUGAGAGGAUGACCAGCCACACUGGAACUGAGACACGGUCCAGACUCCUACGGGAGGCAGCAGUGGGGAAUAUUGCACAAUGGGCGCAAGCCUGAUGCAGCCAUGCCACGUGUAUGAAGAAGGCCUUCGGGUUGUAAAGUACUUUCAGCGGGGAGGAAGGCGGUGAGGUUAAUAACCUCGCCGAUUGACGUUACUCGCAGAAGAAGCACCGGCUAACUCCGUGCCAGCCGCCGCAGUAA
This 503-nucleotide ribosomal RNA is filed under the name uncultured bacterium. Its description in RNAcentral is "partial 16S ribosomal RNA". It matches the Rfam family "Bacterial small subunit ribosomal RNA", at positions 30 to 523 of the family's 1533-position model. The record is from RNAcentral.